GUACAAGACUUGUUAUUGGAGUCGCUUUCUUCUUGAUUGGUGUGUUUGCCCAAAUCCCGCUCGCGGAUCAACUGAAAUGUCGACUAUGCAACAACGCAUUGGAGCUAAGAGAUUGCACAAAGCAGGCGAUAUGCGACAAUAGGACCGAGUGUCAGUCGCUGUAACUAUGAAGAGUUUGGAGGGAAACAAACAUCCGCUUAAAGAAUGCACCACAAAAUGGUGCCAAUCAAAUUAUAUGUAAAGGGAUAUCACUAUUAAAAUAUGGAAA
Long non-coding RNA from Dreissena polymorpha, 268 nucleotides. RefSeq lists it as uncharacterized. The record is from RefSeq and is a predicted model, not a curated record. The transcript has 3 exons. NCBI's taxonomy places the organism in Eukaryota, Metazoa, Mollusca, Bivalvia, Myida, Dreissenidae.